UGCAAGUGUCAAACAUUGCGCUUGAUCUUUUUAAAUUAAAUACUUGUCUAUUUAAUGAAAAAUCUUGCAGGUGAGUAAUGUUGAUCUUAUUAAUGAACUUAUUCAGAAUAUAAAUAGUUGCAUGUAACGUAUGAUCGGACAUUGCUUGUAUUAUAGAUAACGUUAUGCGUAACCUUAAAUAUGUUAUUAUUGUAUUUAUGUACAGAAUUUUAUUAAACAAGUCAUGGAUGCAACUGAUGUUUUUCCUUCCUCCGAUGAAAGUUCCGACAAAGAAUUAUUGGCACUGUGGCUCCUAAGACGGAGACAAAGAAGACGCGUGCAGAAAUAAGAUUUCGGUUCACCCUCUUUGCAAACGACGAAUAGAACAAGGCGCUCAUGGUAAUCUGCACAUGGAAAUGGUUGUGGUUGAUACGAAUAUGUUUAGAGCAUAUAUACGAAUGACCGUUGUCGAAUACGAAAACCUCCUUCUGCAAGUGGGUUCGUAGUUGAUAAGUGCUCCUACAAGACACGACGUCGUCACUCUGUCGCAGAAACUGAUGACCACACUAAUGUAUAGUAUCUUGCCACCGGAGAGUUUCGUGCCUCUGCAAGGUCAGUUUCACAUUGUUGUGGCUACAAUUCAUGGCUUCAUUCCCAAAGUUUUAAAAGUCAUAUGGGAGACACUGCAACUAACUGUGCUGAAAAUACCGAGCAAUUCCAACGACUGGAAAACAAUGAUCGACAUUUAUUACAGAAAAUGGCAGUUUCCUCAGUGCUGGGGAGCUCUAGAUGGAAAGCAAAUUGUUAUAGAGGUAAUGCCUCAAUUAAAAUAAAUAAAUAAAAAGGAGAACAAACGUCGAAACAAAAUAAAUU
Molecule: long non-coding RNA, 852 nt
Organism: Belonocnema kinseyi
Lineage: Eukaryota; Metazoa; Arthropoda; Insecta; Hymenoptera; Cynipidae
Exons: 3
Source: RefSeq, a predicted model, not a curated record